CCUACGGGCGGCUGCAGUGGGGAAUAUUGGACAAUGGGGGCAACCCUGAUCCAGCCAUGCCGCGUGUGUGAAGAAGGCCCUCGGGUUGUAAAGCACUUUCAGUGAGGAAGAACGCCUGGUGGUUAAUACCCAUCAGGAAAGACAUCACUCACAGAAGAAGCACCGGCUAACUCCGUGCCAGCAGCCGCGGUAAUACGGAGGGUGCGAGCGUUAAUCGGAAUAACUGGGCGUAAAGCGCGCGUAGGUGGCUUGAUAAGCCGGUUGUGAAAGCCCCGGGCUCAACCUGGGAACGGCAUCCGGAACUGUCAAGCUAGAGUGCAGGAGAGGAAGGUAGAAUUCCCGGUGUAGCGGUGAAAUGCGUAGAGAUCGGGAGGAAUACCAGUGGCGAAGGCGGCCUUCUGGACUGACACUGACACUGAGGUGCGAAAGCGUGGGUAGCAAACAGGAUUAGAUACCCCUGUAGUC
RNAcentral lists this ribosomal RNA (465 nucleotides) under Vreelandella stevensii. RNAcentral describes it as "partial 16S ribosomal RNA". It matches the Rfam family "Bacterial small subunit ribosomal RNA", at positions 338 to 795 of the family's 1533-position model. Lineage: Bacteria; Pseudomonadati; Pseudomonadota; Gammaproteobacteria; Oceanospirillales; Halomonadaceae. The record is from RNAcentral.